Molecule: ribosomal RNA, 679 nt
Filed under: uncultured fungus
Lineage: Eukaryota; Fungi
Description: eukaryotic LSU rRNA
Rfam family: 5.8S ribosomal RNA (bases 214-367)
Source: RNAcentral
CUUGGUCAUUUAGAGGAAGUAAAAGUCGUAACAAGGUUUCCGUAGGUGAACCUGCGGAAGGAUCAUUCAUAAUAAGUGUUUUAUGGCACUUUUUAAAUCCUUAUCCACCUUGUGUGCAAUGUCAGUCGAUCUUCUUCAUGGAGAUCGGCCAAAAUCAACUUUAUUUUUUAACUCUUUGUCUGAAAAAUAUUAUGAAUAAACAAUUCAAAAUACAACUUUCAACAACGGAUCUCUUGGCCCUCGCAUCGAUGAAGAACGCAGCGAAAUGCGAUACAUAAUGUGAAUUGCAGAAUUCAGUGAAUCAUAGAAUCUUUGAACGCAUAUUGCGCUCUUUGGUAUUCCGAAGAGCAUGCUUGUUUGAGUAUCAGUAAACACCUCAAAGCUUUUGGAUUUUUUUUUGAAAGCUUUGGACUUGAGCAAUCCCAACACCAAUCUUUUUCAGAUCGGCGGCGGGUUGCUUGAAAUGCAGGUGCAGCUGGACUUUCUCCUGAGCUAAAAGCAUAUUCAUUUASUCCCGUCAAAUGGAUUAUUACUUUUGCUGCAGCUAACAUAAAGGGAGUUUGACCGUAUUGGCUGACUGAUGCAGGAUUUUACAAGGGUCGGCAACGAUUCUUGUUAAACUCGAUCUCAAAUCAAGUAAGACUACCCGCUGAACUUAAGCAUAUCAAUAAGCGGAGGA